UCAAUCUUCAAUGCCGUUUAGCUUUGGUACC
This 31-nucleotide non-coding RNA is filed under the name Mus musculus (house mouse). Lineage: Eukaryota; Metazoa; Chordata; Mammalia; Rodentia; Muridae. The record is from RNAcentral.